Molecule: ribosomal RNA, 495 nt
Filed under: uncultured bacterium
Lineage: Bacteria
Description: partial 16S ribosomal RNA
Rfam family: Bacterial small subunit ribosomal RNA
Source: RNAcentral
GACGAACGCUGGCGGCGUGCCUAAUACAUGCAAGUAGAACGCUGAAGGAGGAGCUUGCUUCUCUGGAUGAGUUGCGAACGGGUGAGUAACGCGUAGGUAACCUGCCUGGUAGCGGGGGAUAACUAUUGGAAACGAUAGCUAAUACCGCAUAAAAGUAGAUGUUGCAUGACAUUUGCUUAAAAGGUGCAAUUGCAUCACUACCAGAUGGACCUGCGUUGUAUUAGCUAGUUGGUGGGGUAACGGCUUACCAAGGCGACGAUACAUAGCCGACCUGAGAGGGUGAUCGGCCACACUGGGACUGAGACACGGCCCAGACUCCUACGGGAGGCAGCAGUAGGGAAUCUUCGGCAAUGGACGGAAGUCUGACCGAGCAACGCCGCGUGAGUGAAGAAGGUUGUCGGAUCGUAAAGCUCUGUUGUAAGAGAAGAACGAGUGUGAGAGUGGAAAGUUCACACUGUGACGGUAUCUUACCAGAAAGGGACGGCUAACUACGUG